CCCUUGAAAAAUCCGGAGGACCGAGUACCAUCCACGCCCGGUCGUACUCAUAAACCGCAUCAGUCCUCCAGGUGAACAGCCUCUGGCCAAUGGAACAUAGGCAAGGAAGUCGCAAAACGGAUCCGUAACUCGGGAAAAGAUGGCUCUGAGGGUUGGGCUGGGGGUCCCGGCCCGAACCCGUCGGCUGCCGGCGACUGCUCGAGUGCUCACCGGCGAGAGGCGGGCCGCCCGUGCCGGCCGGACGACCGGGAACGGUUUCUUCGGCCUUCCCGGGCGUCGAACAAAACCGACUCGAACUGACGGAGCAAGGGGAAUCCGACUGUGUUAAUUAAAAACAAAAGCAUUGCGAUGGUCCCUGCGGAUGCUGACGCAAGUGAUUUUCUUGCCCAGCUGCUCUGAAUGUUCAAAGUAAGAAAUUCAACCAACGCGGUAAACGCGGGAGUAACUAUGACUCUCUUAAGGUAGCCCAAAUGCCUCGUCAUCUAAUUAGUGACGCGCAUGAAUGGUAUUAACGAAUUCCCACUGUCCCUGGUCUACUAUCCAGCGAAACCACAACCAAGGGAACGGCUUGCGGAAUCAGCGGGGGAAAAGAAACCCUGUUGAGCUUGACCUAGUCCGACUUGUGAAAAAUGACUUGAGAGUAGAUAAGUGGGACCUUCGGGUCGCAAGUGAAAAUACCACACUUUUAACUUAUUUUACUUAUUCCGUGAGGUCGGAAGCGGGGCAUUGGCCCCUCUUUUUGCGCUCCAAGGCCCUGUUUGCAGACCAUCCGGGCGGGAAGACAUUGUCAGGUUGGGCGAGUUUGGCUGGCGGCCACAUCUGUUAAAAGAUAACGCAGGUGUCCUAAGAUGAGCUCAACGAGAAAACAGAAAUCUCGUGUGAACAAAGGUAAAGCCGUUUAGAUGCUGAUUUCCAAGUACGAAUACGAACCGUUGAAAGCGUGGCCUAUCGACCUUUAGAUCUUCGGAUUUGAACAGCUAGAGGUGUCAGAAAAGUUACCACAGGAUUAACUGGCUUGUGGCAAGCCAAGCGUUCAUAGCGACGUUGCUUUUUGAAUCCUUCGAGUCGGCUCUUCCUAUCAUUUGAAGCCAAGAAUUCACCAAGUGUGAUGGUUCACCCAACCAAUAGGAACGUGACGGGUUUAGACCGUCGGUGAGACAGGUGAGUUUUACCCUACGUGGAUGACCGUGCCGAACGAUAGUAAUUAACCUAGUACGAGAGAACCGUUUGAUUCCACACAAUUGUCAUCGCCUUGUUGAAAAAGCCAGUGGCGCGAAAGGCUACCGUGUGCGAUUGAUGACUGACGCUCUAAGUCAGAAUCCAAGCUAGCAACGGCGCCUGUGCCCGCGCUCGCCCCGACCCACAUGAGGCGUUCGCGCCCCAAGGCCCCAUCCAUUGGCUAAGCCUGCCCGGCCGAUGAGCCGCGGUAGGCCGCCUCAAGCUCCCUUCCUGCACGGCCGGGCGAAUCUUUGCAGACGACUUAAAUACGCGAACGGGGCAUUUAAGUGGCAGAGUGGCCUUGCUGCACAUCCACUUGAGAUCCAGCCCCA
Molecule: ribosomal RNA, 1550 nt
Filed under: Urochloa ruziziensis
Lineage: Eukaryota; Viridiplantae; Streptophyta; Magnoliopsida; Poales; Poaceae
Description: eukaryotic LSU rRNA
Rfam family: Eukaryotic large subunit ribosomal RNA
Source: RNAcentral